Molecule: unclassified non-coding RNA, 222 nt
Filed under: fungal sp.
Lineage: Eukaryota; Fungi
Description: partial internal transcribed spacer region
Rfam family: Eukaryotic small subunit ribosomal RNA (bases 1-46)
Source: RNAcentral
AAGUCGUAACAAGGUUUUCGUAGGUGAACCUGCGGAAGGAUCAUUAAAUAAACUUUUUUUUUAAUCCAUUAAAAAACUUAUUUUUUUCGGGGGCCACUUUUAUCUUUUUUUUCUACUAAAACAUUAGUGCUUUAACCACUAAUUUUUUUAUUUUUUUUAGUCUUACUAAAAAUUAUUAAUUUAACUAAAAAAUAACUUUCAACAACGGAUCUCUAGGCUCUU